RNAcentral lists this ribosomal RNA (208 nucleotides) under uncultured bacterium. Its description in RNAcentral is "partial 16S ribosomal RNA". It matches the Rfam family "Bacterial small subunit ribosomal RNA", at positions 568 to 774 of the family's 1533-position model. The record is from RNAcentral.
CUCGUAGGCGGUUCGGCAAGUCGGAUGUGAAAUCUCCACGCUCAACGUGGAGGGGCCAUUCGAAACUGCCGUGACUCGAGUCCGGUAGGGGAGUGCGGAAUUCCCGGUGUAGCGGUGAAAUGCGCAGAUAUCGGGAGGAACACCAGUGGCGAAGGCGGCACUCUGGGCCGGAACUGACGCUGAGGAGCGAAAGCGUGGGGAGCGAACA